AGGGGCGGCUCAACGUAAUUGGGGGCCUAAAGCGAAAUUUCAAUUCGCGGCCUAAAAUAUAAAUACACUUCAUAUACGUAUUUAUUCAAAAAAAAAAAUUACACUAUUAAGAUGAAAAUUAUUAGUACUUAAUAUUGUUUUUUGAGUUACUAGUUUUAGGUAAGAUUUUAUCAACACAACAUUGAAAAACAUCCUUUAAGUGAGACAAUUAUUAUAUGCAUUGUUAACAUAAUGAUAUAAGUAAUAAGUUGAUAAAUAUUAAAUAAAGAUAAGAGUUAGAAGUUUAGAAUCAUAGAAUUUGACUCAAAAAAUUGAUGACUUGGUAUACCUCAUUUUAAUAUGCUUAGAGUAAUGCUUGAAACUAAAAUUUAAAAAUUGGGGUUUUGAACUGACCAAUUAAGAAUUGAAAUUUGAAGUCUUUUGUUUAUGUGUAUUAACAGGGGCGGCUCAACGUAAUUGGGGGGCUAAAGCGAAAUUUCAAUUCGCGGCCUAAAAUAUAAAUACACUUCAUAUACGUAUUUAUUCAAAAAAAAAAAUUACACUAUUAAGAUGAAAAUUAUUAGUACUUAAUAUUGUUUUUUGAGUUACUAGUUUUAGGUAAGAUUUUAUCAACACAACAUUGAAAAACAUCCUUUAAGUGAGACA
This 645-nucleotide long non-coding RNA is filed under the name Solanum tuberosum (potato). RNAcentral describes it as "long non-coding RNA (STUB_LNC007008)". Lineage: Eukaryota; Viridiplantae; Streptophyta; Magnoliopsida; Solanales; Solanaceae. The record is from RNAcentral.